CUCUUCGCUGGCACGGCCAGCCCCCUCCCCUCUGUCCAAGAGAGAGGGUCCGGGGCCCGCGGAUCCCCCCCUCCCCUUGGCUUGGGGACCCGCGGCACAGCGGGCGCUGCCCCGCCGGGACGGCGGCAGGAAAAUCUCCGUCCCGGCGCCCGCGGGGCCCUUGGCAAUGACCGCGGCGUUCCCCGCAGCCCACCCGGGCCCUGUAGAUCCGGAGGGGCUGCGGAGGUGUCGGACGGAGCUGCCCAAACGAUCCACGGAUGGACUGAGCCCUGGCCCGGCUCUCCGGCAGCGUGUCUGGGGGGGGGUCCGCUCGGCGUGGGGCCAACCCUCUCGCCCCCCCAGCCGCAGGGCAGGGUAUCUGGUUUCCCCCCCCGGAGCCAGCAGAUCCCGCCAGCAGCGCUGGAGCAGUUGGGGAAAGCCGCCGGCCCGUCCCCGGGGGUCUCCAGCCUGCCGAGGCGGCGGGACUGCUCCUCGCUGCCUUCUCCCCUCCCCAAAACCCAGCGCUGCGGUUGGGUUUGGGGAGUUUUCCAGCUGCCACGGCUCCCGCUGGGCCAACACCUGAGACAGGAGAGGAGGAGGAGGAGGAGGAGGAGGAGGAGGAGGAGGAGGGAAACGUAGCCCGGCAGACGCAGCUCCCGGCUUCCCAAGCCCCUCUCCCUGAGCCAGCCAGCGGUGUCAGGACGGAGCCCACGCCGCAGGACAAAGCGGGCACAGAGCACAGCCAGGUCAAACCACUGGGAAGCCUCAUCCCCACAUCCUGUUCCUUCUCCUCCUCGCCCGGUGCCCGCAGCGGCUCCGCGUGGGUGAGGCCGUGCCCGCCCUGCCCUCGGGGCCACGUCACCGGGCAGCUGAGCUCACCUCCAUCCCACCCCGCGGGUCCUCCGGCCGGCGCCAGGACCAGCCCGGCCUCCCACUGCUGACCUUUGCGGCCGACAGCCGGAGGAGGGAGAGACGGGGGUCGACCGGACCCAGAAAUCCCGGCUUUAGCCCCAAACCGCCCGCGAGACGCUCCGGCAGCGCCCGGCUCCUUGGGGACACCCCUGGGGCGCAGGCAGGGGCACGGAGCAGCCAUCCGGCUCGGCGUGUCCCCUCCUGCCGGGCUGGCAGCAGGAGCCCAGCUGUGGCCGUCUGUCUCCCCGAGCCGCUGCCUGGGCGAGGGCGCCGUGCCAUGUGCCGGGAAGGAAGCCGGAGGAGCGGGAAGGACACUGCGAGACAAAUCCGAGCCCGACGGGUGCGAGGGAACACCCCUGUCACCUUCCCCGCCAUCCCUGGGUGAAGCUCGCCAGACUCAGGGGAGUCCUGGGAGAGGCUGUGUGGGCGCAGCUGAGCCUGGGGGUGCCGGAGCCCCCAGAGGGCUGCCAGGCUCCUGCACCCGGUCCGUAUCCAGCCCAUUCCCUGGUCGGCGCCGGUGGGAAGAGGGAGGGGUGGCCAGGCCCUGGCCCCCACUGAGGUGCCAGCUCUGCUCCACAGCGGGGCCCCUCAGCUCGGGCUCCACGGUCACCGAGCCCGGGAGGAGGGACUUGGGAGCGGCUGCUCCAGCGGCAGGCGGGAGCCGGCUGGAGGACCCUGCUGUGAGCACGACUCGAGUUCCUCACAGCCACAUCCCCCCGGCUCCCUCGAGGCCACUCCGCAGCCUGUGGAGGCUGGCUGUGAGCACAGGCUGUUGGUUGAGCCAGUGUCACAUCCCUGGAAGUGCUCAUAGCCACACUGG
This 1711-nucleotide long non-coding RNA is filed under the name Parus major (Great Tit). RNAcentral's name for it is "lncRNA (ENSPMJG00000007006.1)". The record is from RNAcentral. Lineage: Eukaryota; Metazoa; Chordata; Aves; Passeriformes; Paridae.